Molecule: long non-coding RNA, 877 nt
Organism: Cyprinodon variegatus (sheepshead minnow)
Lineage: Eukaryota; Metazoa; Chordata; Actinopteri; Cyprinodontiformes; Cyprinodontidae
Exons: 3
Source: RefSeq, a predicted model, not a curated record
UGUCUGUUGCACGAACCGUUUUGAUAAAAACAAUAAAACGGGGAAGUUUUACCGAAUCCCAUCAACUCGCACCCCUUUCAAGGCAAACAAGAGACGUCUUUGGUUGCAAGCCAUCAGAAGAAGCGAUUGGAACGAGCAGAUGAUUAAAAAUGCAUCAAUCUGCAGCGAUCACUUUAUAUCAGGAGAGGCAUCAGACGACAUCGAGGGCCCAGACUUUGUCCCGUCUAUCUUUCCAUACUCAAUCCAGCCCGGCAAAGACGGUGUUGCAAAACUGGAGCGAAGGUAUGGUCCCAAAGACUGUCCAUGAUGACCUCCAGCUGAAGUACAGCCAACUUCAUACAGAGUGUGAUAACCUGCGUGAGGACAUCAACAAACUGAAAACAGAAUGAACAAUUAAAAGAAAUGCUCGGGACUGCACAGUUCUCUUUUGCGUCACUGAAGUGUAAAGCAGCACAGGUGCUGUUUUUCACAGGUCUAACCAGUGCCCUCUUUAAUUGGGUCCUGCAGACGGUCAAGGACAGUGUGGAGGUCAUCUGUGGCUCUCUGACCCUAGAGGAUCAUCUUUUGGCUGUACUCAUGAAACUCAGAUUAGGACUCACCAACAAGGAUAUUGCAUUCCGAUUUAAUGUUAACGAAUGUGACAUCUCUAAAAUCUUAAGAAGUUGGCUGCCUAUUAUGUCUCUGAUUUUGAAACCUUUAAUCAAGUGGCCAAGUCAGCAUGCUAUAUUAAAGAAUAUGCCAAAAUGUUUCAAACCUAAAUACCAGCGUUGCAGGUGCAUUAUUGACUGCACAGAAAUUUUUAUUAACAGACCAACAAAUUUAACAGCCAGAGCCCAAACAUAUUCAAAUUAUAAGAGCCAUAACACGGUUAAGUAUU